UUAAAUUGAAGAGUUUGAUCAUGGCUCAGAUUGAACGCUGGCGGCAGGCCUAACACAUGCAAGUCGAACGGUAACAGGAAGAAGCUUGCUUCUUUGCUGACGAGUGGCGGACGGGUGAGUAAUGUCUGGGAAACUGCCUGAUGGAGGGGGAUAACUACUGGAAACGGUAGCUAAUACCGCAUAACGUCGCAAGACCAAAGAGGGGGACCUUCGGGCCUCUUGCCAUCGGAUGUGCCCAGAUGGGAUUAGCUUGUUGGUGGGGUAACGGCUCACCAAGGCGACGAUCCCUAGCUGGUCUGAGAGGAUGACCAGCCACACUGGAACUGAGACACGGUCCAGACUCCUACGGGAGGCAGCAGUGGGGAAUAUUGCACAAUGGGCGCAAGCCUGAUGCAGCCAUGCCGCGUGUAUGAAGAAGGCCUUCGGGUUGUAAAGUACUUUCAGCGGGGAGGAAGGGAGUAAAGUUAAUACCUUUGCUCAUUGACGUUACCCGCAGAAGAAGCACCGGCUAACUCCGUGCCAGCAGCCGCGGUAAUACGGAGGGUGCAAGCGUUAAUCGGAAUUACUGGGCGUAAAGCGCACGCAGGCGGUUUGUUAAGUCAGAUGUGAAAUCCCCGGGCUCAACCUGGGAACUGCAUCUGAUACUGGCAAGCUUGAGUCUCGUAGAGGGGGGUAGAAUUCCAGGUGUAGCGGUGAAAUGCGUAGAGAUCUGGAGGAAUACCGGUGGCGAAGGCGGCCCCCUGGACGAAGACUGACGCUCAGGUGCGAAAGCGUGGGGAGCAAACAGGAUUAGAUACCCUGGUAGUCCACGCCGUAAACGAUGUCGACUUGGAGGUUGUGCCCUUGAGGCGUGGCUUCCGGAGCUAACGCGUUAAGUCGACCGCCUGGGGAGUACGGCCGCAAGGUUAAAACUCAAAUGAAUUGACGGGGGCCCGCACAAGCGGUGGAGCAUGUGGUUUAAUUCGAUGCAACGCGAAGAACCUUACCUGGUCUUGACAUCCACGGAAGUUUUCAGAGAUGAAAAUGUGCCUUCGGGAACCGUGAGACAGGUGCUGCAUGGCUGUCGUCAGCUCGUGUUGUGAAAUGUUGGGUUAAGUCCCGCAACGAGCGCAACCCUUAUCCUUUGUUGCCAGCGGUCCGGCCGGGAACUCAAAGGAGACUGCCAGUGAUAAACUGGAGGAAGGUGGGGAUGACGUCAAGUCAUCAUGGCCCUUACGACCAGGGCUACACACGUGCUACAAUGGCGCAUACAAAGAGAAGCGACCUCGCGAGAGCAAGCGGACCUCAUAAAGUGCGUCGUAGUCCGGAUUGGAGUCUGCAACUCGACUCCAUGAAGUCGGAAUCGCUAGUAAUCGUGGAUCAGAAUGCCACGGUGAAUACGUUCCCGGGCCUUGUACACACCGCCCGUCACACCAUGGGAGUGGGUUGCAAAAGAAGUAGGUAGCUUAACCUUCAGGAGGGCGCUUACCACUUUGUGAUUCAUGACUGGGGUGAAGUCGUAACAAGGUAACCGUAGGGGAACCUGCGGUUGGAUCACCUCCUUACCUUAAAGAAGC
RNAcentral lists this ribosomal RNA (1556 nucleotides) under Escherichia coli. Its description in RNAcentral is "bacterial SSU rRNA". It matches the Rfam family "Bacterial small subunit ribosomal RNA". Lineage: Bacteria; Pseudomonadati; Pseudomonadota; Gammaproteobacteria; Enterobacterales; Enterobacteriaceae. The record is from RNAcentral.